GGGUUGUGAGGUUAAGCGACUAAGCGUACACGGUGGAUGCCCUGGCAGUCAGAGGCGAUGAAGGACGUGCUAAUCUGCGAUAAGCGUCGGUAAGGUGAUAUGAACCGUUAUAACCGGCGAUUUCCGAAUGGGGAAACCCAGUGUGAUUCGUCACACUAUCAUUAACUGAAUCCAUAGGUUAAUGAGGCGAACCGGGGGAACUGAAACAUCUAAGUACCCCGAGGAAAAGAAAUCAACCGAGAUUCCCCCAGUAGCGGCGAGCGAACGGGGAGGAGCCCAGAGCCUGAAUCAGUGUGUGUGUUAGUGGAAGCGUCUGGAAAGGCGCGCGAUACAGGGUGACAGCCCCGUACACAAAAAUGCACAUGCUGUGAGCUCGAUGAGUAGGGCGGGACACGUGGUAUCCUGUCUGAAUAUGGGGGGACCAUCCUCCAAGGCUAAAUACUCCUGACUGACCGAUAGUGAACCAGUACCGUGAGGGAAAGGCGAAAAGAACCCCGGCGAGGGGAGUGAAAAAGAACCUGAAACCGUGUACGUACAAGCAGUGGGAGCACAGAGCAAUCUGUGUGACUGCGUACCUUUUGUAUAAUGGGUCAGCGACUUAUAUUCUGUAGCAAGGUUAACCGAAUAGGGGAGCCGAAGGGAAACCGAGUCUUAACUGGGCGUUAAGUUGCAGGGUAUAGACCCGAAACCCGGUGAUCUAGCCAUGGGCAGGUUGAAGGUUGGGUAACACUAACUGGAGGACCGAACCGACUAAUGUUGAAAAAUUAGCGGAUGACUUGUGGCUGGGGGUGAAAGGCCAAUCAAACCGGGAGAUAGCUGGUUCUCCCCGAAAGCUAUUUAGGUAGCGCCUCGUGAAUUCAUCUCCGGGGGUAGAGCACUGUUUCGGCAAGGGGGUCAUCCCGACUUACCAACCCGAUGCAAACUGCGAAUACCGGAGAAUGUUAUCACGGGAGACACACGGCGGGUGCUAACGUCCGUCGUGAAGAGGGAAACAACCCAGACCGCCAGCUAAGGUCCCAAAGUCAUGGUUAAGUGGGAAACGAUGUGGGAAGGCCCAGACAGCCAGGAUGUUGGCUUAGAAGCAGCCAUCAUUUAAAGAAAGCGUAAUAGCUCACUGGUCGAGUCGGCCUGCGCGGAAGAUGUAACGGGGCUAAACCAUGCACCGAAGCUGCGGCAGCGACGCUGAUGCGUUGUUGGGUAGGGGAGCGUUCUGUAAGCCUGUGAAGGUGUGCUGUGAGGCAUGCUGGAGGUAUCAGAAGUGCGAAUGCUGACAUAAGUAACGAUAAAGCGGGUGAAAAGCCCGCUCGCCGGAAGACCAAGGGUUCCUGUCCAACGUUAAUCGGGGCAGGGUGAGUCGACCCCUAAGGCGAGGCCGAAAGGCGUAGUCGAUGGGAAACAGGUUAAUAUUCCUGUACUUGGUGUUACUGCGAAGGGGGGACGGAGAAGGCUAUGUUGGCCGGGCGACGGUUGUCCCGGUUUAAGCGUGUAGGCUGGUUUUCCAGGCAAAUCCGGAAAACUAAGGCUGAGGCGUGAUGACGAGGCACUACGGUGCUGAAGCAACAAAUGCCCUGCUUCCAGGAAAAGCCUCUAAGCAUCAGGUAACAUCAAAUCGUACCCCAAACCGACACAGGUGGUCAGGUAGAGAAUACCAAGGCGCUUGAGAGAACUCGGGUGAAGGAACUAGGCAAAAUGGUGCCGUAACUUCGGGAGAAGGCACGCUGAUAUGUAGGUGAAGUCCCUCGCGGAUGGAGCUGAAAUCAGUCGAAGAUACCAGCUGGCUGCAACUGUUUAUUAAAAACACAGCACUGUGCAAACACGAAAGUGGACGUAUACGGUGUGACGCCUGCCCGGUGCCGGAAGGUUAAUUGAUGGGGUCAGCGCAAGCGAAGCUCUUGAUCGAAGCCCCGGUAAACGGCGGCCGUAACUAUAACGGUCCUAAGGUAGCGAAAUUCCUUGUCGGGUAAGUUCCGACCUGCACGAAUGGCGUAAUGAUGGCCAGGCUGUCUCCACCCGAGACUCAGUGAAAUUGAACUCGCUGUGAAGAUGCAGUGUACCCGCGGCAAGACGGAAAGACCCCGUGAACCUUUACUAUAGCUUGACACUGAACAUUGAGCCUUGAUGUGUAGGAUAGGUGGGAGGCUUUGAAGUGUGGACGCCAGUCUGCAUGGAGCCGACCUUGAAAUACCACCCUUUAAUGUUUGAUGUUCUAACGUUGACCCGUAAUCCGGGUUGCGGACAGUGUCUGGUGGGUAGUUUGACUGGGGCGGUCUCCUCCUAAAGAGUAACGGAGGAGCACGAAGGUUGGCUAAUCCUGGUCGGACAUCAGGAGGUUAGUGCAAUGGCAUAAGCCAGCUUGACUGCGAGCGUGACGGCGCGAGCAGGUGCGAAAGCAGGUCAUAGUGAUCCGGUGGUUCUGAAUGGAAGGGCCAUCGCUCAACGGAUAAAAGGUACUCCGGGGAUAACAGGCUGAUACCGCCCAAGAGUUCAUAUCGACGGCGGUGUUUGGCACCUCGAUGUCGGCUCAUCACAUCCUGGGGCUGAAGUAGGUCCCAAGGGUAUGGCUGUUCGCCAUUUAAAGUGGUACGCGAGCUGGGUUUAGAACGUCGUGAGACAGUUCGGUCCCUAUCUGCCGUGGGCGCUGGAGAACUGAGGGGGGCUGCUCCUAGUACGAGAGGACCGGAGUGGACGCAUCACUGGUGUUCGGGUUGUCAUGCCAAUGGCACUGCCCGGUAGCUAAAUGCGGAAGAGAUAAGUGCUGAAAGCAUCUAAGCACGAAACUUGCCCCGAGAUGAGUUCUCCCUGACUCCUUGAGAGUCCUGAAGGAACGUUGAAGACGACGACGUUGAUAGGCCGG
Molecule: ribosomal RNA, 2854 nt
Filed under: Escherichia coli
Lineage: Bacteria; Pseudomonadati; Pseudomonadota; Gammaproteobacteria; Enterobacterales; Enterobacteriaceae
Also listed under: 23 other names
Description: bacterial LSU rRNA
Rfam family: Bacterial large subunit ribosomal RNA
Source: RNAcentral